AGUGAACGCUGGCGGUAGGCCUAACACAUGCAAGUCGAACGGCAGCACAGUAAGAGCUUGCUCUUACGGGUGGCGAGUGGCGGACGGGUGAGGAAUACAUCGGAAUCUACUUUUUCGUGGGGGAUAACGUAGGGAGACUUACGCUAAUACCGCAUACGACCUACGGGUGAAAGCAGGGGAUCUUCGGACCUUGCGCGAUUGAAUGAGCCGAUGUCGGAUUAGCUAGUUGGCGGGGUAAAGGCCCACCAAGGCGACGAUCCGUAGCUGGUCUGAGAGGAUGAUCAGCCACACUGGAACUGAGACACGGUCCAGACUCCUACGGGAGGCAGCAGUGGGGAAUAUUGGAUAAUGGGCGCAAGCCUGAUCCAGCCAUACCGCGUGGGUGAAGAAGGCCUUCGGGUUGUAAAGCCCUUUUGUUGGGAAAGAAAAGCAGCAGGUUAAUACCCCGCUGUUCUGACGGUACCCAAAGAAUAAGCACCGGCUAACUUCGUG
This 492-nucleotide ribosomal RNA is filed under the name uncultured bacterium. RNAcentral describes it as "partial 16S ribosomal RNA". It matches the Rfam family "Bacterial small subunit ribosomal RNA", at positions 29 to 507 of the family's 1533-position model. The record is from RNAcentral.